This 957-nucleotide long non-coding RNA is filed under the name Homo sapiens (human). RNAcentral's name for it is "HSALNT0318829". Lineage: Eukaryota; Metazoa; Chordata; Mammalia; Primates; Hominidae. The record is from RNAcentral.
AAAAUCUGCUCGUUAUUUGCCAGGAUAAAGCAAUUCCUAUUUGUGUAUUAUAAACUUAAUACAAUUUAUAUGCCGAAAAUCUUUUUCCUUUCUUUCUCCCACAUGAGGCAUUUUUAUGAUGAUUAAGAGGAAAACAGCCUAAAAUGCUAUAUUAGUUCACAAAAUUUCUCAGAAUGGUGUAUGAAAACUGAAACUGAAACAUUACAGAGGUGGUGAAAUCUACUUAUACUCAAUUACUUAAGGGCAGAAAAAUAUUAGCUACCAUAUCAGUGGCUACAGAUCUACAUGAUGUGUUAAUACUGAUAUUAAAAAUAAGCAUGAAAUUUGGGUGAAUCUUCUAGAUAGGGGUGUUCUUCUAAACAGAUUUAGAAAAGUUGAUGAAUUUGUAAACCAUUAAAAUUAACUGAGGGAUAAAAUGAGAAACGCAUAGGAUAUCAUCAUAUUAAACUUUCCUAAGAAAGUAAGAAUCAUUUUGAAAUGUGAUUGGUUUCCAUCUUCUUAGUUGGCUCUGCCCUGACCCCAACUCCUUUAUUUUUUUGAGGUAGAAAGUAUGUCCUUGCUACAUUCCUUUUUUGGAGUUCUUUUAUUUCAUUCUUUUGGAAUCGGAGAGAAACAAGUUGCUGCCCCAGGAAAGCGUGCAUUUUCGGAGAUCACUCAUUGCAGAAGAAGCCAACUGCCAUGCCAGAGGGGCACUCAAACAGCUCUGCAAGGAAGUCCCUGUGAUAAGCAACUGAAGACUCUGCCAUCGGCCAUGAGAGCGCCACCUUGGAAACAGAUUCUUCAGCCUUAGUCAAAUUUUCAGAAGACUGUAUGUCCAGCCAACUUCUUGACUACAAUCCCUUUAUAGAUCCCAAGCUAGAACCUCCCAGCUAAGCCACUCCUGGAUUCCUGACCCUGAGAAACUCUGUGAGAGAAUAAAUGUUUAUUCUUGCCUUAAGCUCCUAAAUUUGGAGGUAA